UAUCAGCUUGUUAAACACCCCAUGAGCCUCAAUAUUAUCUUGGUUCUAUGAAGACAUCAGGUCAUUUUUGCAAGUGGCUUCUUCUCCCCCCUUAUUGUUAUUGUUUUAUUUAUUUAACCAUCUUCAUUUUAUGUAUGCUAAUGAAAUUUAAUCUUGCUUGGUCAGUUGGCAUAUGUAUUUUGAAGAGAAUGAGUUUCUUGUAAAUAUUUAAAACAAGAACAAAUUUAGCUUGGACAUGGUUUUAAAAGUUGAAUUCGGUAAUAAAAUUAUAAGUUCAUUUCUGUUUACCUUUUUACUAUGGGGUCAUUUAUUCGAGAUAUAUGACUCGCGGGGUCAUUUAUUUGAGGUACGUGAAUCACUGUUCUAUCAAUGACAGAACAGAAAGUAGAAUGUACAACUGUUUUAAUAAAUUUCAGACAUUAUGGGGAUUUAAUAUUUAUCAAGAAAUUGUGCAAUAUUUUGGCUGGUACGAAUUUUUUUCUUCCCCCUAACAAAAAGUAGAAUUCUUCUGAAGUAAAGUUUGAAAGGGUGAAAAUAUAGAUUUUUUAAAUUAAAAGUGCAUUUAAUCAUUAGAAAAAAAGUAUAAAAUAAGUAGGAAGAAAUAUACGAUACCGGAGGGAUUUCAAAAAUAUAUGACAGAAGUCUGAAGUCACCGAACACCCUCAGGAUUAACUUUGAGGGUCUAUUUGAUUAAUUUCAAAACCUGAGGCGUUCCAUUCAUUAAAAUGACAAAACUCUGGUGUAUUUUAUUUUAUAUAAUAAACAACAAGGACUCUUUGUAAAUUACGUCAUCACGCUCACGACGUGCCAUUAUACGGUGAGCCAUUUUUGGACAUGCGAACUUGGACCGACCGAAAAUUACAAGAAGAGCGAAAACUGUAUUAGAUACAAAGACGGAAUCAUCUAUCUGACACCGUAACUGGCACCCCUUGAUUUUCAUAUUUGUUUAAUUUGCUUAAUUUGAUUCAAAGUGUACUUUAUUUCAUUGCUAGAAAAUUAGUAUGCUGGAAAUUAUAGUGAGUUUUUUUGCAUUGCCCGUCUCCUGUUUGAUAUAAUUCCUCAACGAAAUGAUUUUACGUGCAUUCUAUUGUUGUUAGUUGCUUUAUUUUCAGCUCAAAACAGCUUGCGAAAGUUAACCUCAACAACGCAUUGCAAUGCAGCCUUGUCGAAUUUUAUAAUCACAGUAGAAUAAUGGGUUACUGCCAUCUUUGCUUGUUAAAAAACUUUUCCGAAUUUUGUUCAGUGAUCCUUUUCGCUGUAUUUUAGUAUUGUUGCUAUAAGGUUCAUGGUAUGAGUUUUUUUUUUUUUUUUUAAUUAUUUGUCGUGGAUUAAUUGCAACUAUUAAUCAUGCAGAGUUACUUUAUGCAAUCACAUUGUUUUGUACUUAUUGUUACUUGGUUUUGCAGCAGUUUAAGAAUGGAGAAUGACAAGAAAGCUGAGCUAGCUAGCUUUUUGAAAGUCAUUCCCCCUGUUGAAUUCUGCUGUGUUUAUGGUUCAUCUCUCCAUCCGAAUAACAAAGACAAGGUUUCUGUUUGCUCUUUUUAUUUUUCACAUUGUAUCUUUUCAUUUUACUUUUAAUUGCAUUCUGCUGUACCGUACAUCCGCCUUGGCCGUACAGCAGAAAGAGAAAUUCAGAAUUUUUUCUUGUGAGUGAAUAUCAUGCUGUUCUGAGCAUAUAUGACUGCUGGACCGUACAUCCGCCUUGGCCGUACAGCAGCUAAUGAAAUUUAAUCUUGCUUGGUCAGUUGGCAUAUGUAUUUUGAAGAGAAUGAGUUUCUUGUAAAUAUUUAAAACAAGAACAAAUUUAGCUUGGACAUGGUUUUAAAAGUUGAAUUCGGUAAUAAAAUUAUAAGUUCAUUUCUGUUUACCUUUUUACUAUGGGGUCAUUUAUUCGAGAUAUAUGACUCGCGGGGUCAU
Molecule: long non-coding RNA, 1917 nt
Filed under: Citrus sinensis (sweet orange)
Lineage: Eukaryota; Viridiplantae; Streptophyta; Magnoliopsida; Sapindales; Rutaceae
Description: long non-coding RNA (CSIN_LNC000635)
Source: RNAcentral